GAUGGACGGGUACGAAACACGUAUUGGAUUUCAAAAUGGAUCGUAGCUUUAAUUUCCAGAAUAUAAUUUAUGCUCCAUCGUUAUGGUUCCAACACUUGCGAUCGGAGGCACUUUGGACCACUUGAUGACGAAAGCACUCACACGCGUGCGCACACACAGGCAUACAUGCACACGUAGUUAGAGGAAAUCCGUGCACGUGAGAUGGGGGAGGAAUAUACAGACUCGCGACCAAGUCCACGUGAUGGGCGAGGAUUCGUGCGAUAACGAGUCGGCGAAUGCGAUCCCGAUGAGCCUUCGCAGUGGACUGUUUCUCUGGAGACUACGCGACAAUAUCCUGCAUUACGUGUAGCCUCUAUAGUUAGAUACACCUCGCGCCCCACCCACCCCGGGACUCGUCGAUGAGAGCACGGC
This 411-nucleotide long non-coding RNA is filed under the name Camponotus floridanus (Florida carpenter ant). Its description in RNAcentral is "uncharacterized LOC105249453, transcript variant X1". The record is from RNAcentral. Lineage: Eukaryota; Metazoa; Arthropoda; Insecta; Hymenoptera; Formicidae.